Molecule: ribosomal RNA, 772 nt
Filed under: Rathayibacter sp. AY1E8
Lineage: Bacteria; Bacillati; Actinomycetota; Actinomycetes; Micrococcales; Microbacteriaceae
Description: bacterial LSU rRNA
Rfam family: Bacterial large subunit ribosomal RNA
Source: RNAcentral
UUGAAGCGGGCACGCUAGUGUUCGUGGAGUCAUUGUUGAAAUACCACUCUGGUCACUCUGGAUAUCUAACUUCGGACCCUAAUCGGGUUCAGGGACAGUGCCUGAUGGGUAGUUUAACUGGGGCGGUUGCCUCCCAAAGAGUAACGGAGGCGCCCAAAGGUUCCCUCAACCUGGUUGGCAAUCAGGUGGCGAGUGUAAGUGCACAAGGGAGCUUGACUGUGAGACUGACAAGUCGAGCAGGGACGAAAGUCGGGACUAGUGAUCCGGCAGUGGCUUGUGGAAGCGCUGUCGCUCAACGGAUAAAAGGUACCUCGGGGAUAACAGGCUGAUCUUGCCCAAGAGUCCAUAUCGACGGCAUGGUUUGGCACCUCGAUGUCGGCUCGUCGCAUCCUGGGGCUGGAGUAGGUCCCAAGGGUUGGGCUGUUCGCCCAUUAAAGCGGUACGCGAGCUGGGUUUAGAACGUCGUGAGACAGUUCGGUCCCUAUCCGCUGCGCGCGCAGGAAAUUUGAGAAGAUCUAUCCCUAGUACGAGAGGACCGGGAUGGACGAACCUCUGGUGUGUCAGUUGUUCCGCCAGGAGCACCGCUGAUUAGCUACGUUCGGAACGGAUAACCGCUGAAAGCAUCUAAGCGGGAAGCCGGCUUCGAGAUGAGAUUUCCAUCCCUUCGGGGGAGAGGCUCCCAGCCAGACGACUGGGUUGAUAGGCCGGAUGUGGAAGACAGGACUAAAGACUGUCGGAGCUGACCGGUACUAAUAAGCCGAUAACUUGAUAA